Molecule: ribosomal RNA, 465 nt
Filed under: uncultured bacterium
Lineage: Bacteria
Description: bacterial LSU rRNA
Rfam family: Bacterial large subunit ribosomal RNA
Source: RNAcentral
CCCGAAACCUAGCGAGCUAUCCAUGUGCAGGAUGAAGUUUCAGUUACAUGAAAUGGAGGUCCGAACCCGUAUUGGUUGAAAACAGUUGGGAUGACAUGUGGAUUGGAGUGAAAGGCUAAUCAAGCUGGGAAAUAGCUGGUUCUUUCCGAAAUAUAUUUAGGUAUAGCCUUGAUGGAUGACAUAAUGGGGUAAAGCACAGUUUAAUUUUUGGGGUCGCAAGAUUACCAAAGUUUUACUAACUCUGAAUACGUUAUGUUUAGAAAUCAGGAGACAGGCUACGAGAGAUAAGUUCCGUGGCCAAAAGGGAAACAGCCCAGACCAUCAAUUAAGGUCCCCAAGUGUCUAUUGAGUGAAAAAGAUGUGAAAAUACACAGACAGUCAGGAGGUUGGCUUAGAGGCAGCCAUCCUUUAAAGAAAGCGUAAUAGCUCACUGACUAAGUGUUUUUGCGCUGAAGUAUAAACGGG